This is a transfer RNA of Loxodonta africana (African savanna elephant), 72 nucleotides long. It matches the Rfam family "tRNA". From Rfam's summary of the family: Transfer RNA (tRNA) molecules are approximately 80 nucleotides in length. Their secondary structure includes four short double-helical elements and three loops (D, anti-codon, and T loops). Further hydrogen bonds mediate the characteristic L-shaped molecular structure. tRNAs have two regions of fundamental functional importance: the anti-codon, which is responsible for specific mRNA codon recognition, and the 3' end, to which the tRNAs corresponding amino acid is attached (by aminoacyl-tRNA synthetases). tRNAs cope with the degeneracy of the genetic code in two manners: having more than one tRNA (with a specific anti-codon) for a particular amino acid; and 'wobble' base-pairing, i.e. permitting non-standard base-pairing at the 3rd anti-codon position. Lineage: Eukaryota; Metazoa; Chordata; Mammalia; Proboscidea; Elephantidae. The record is from Rfam.
GCUCUGGUAGCACAGUGGUUAAAGUGCUUGGCUGCUAACCAAAAGGUUGGUGGUUCAAACCUACCAGCAGCU